Molecule: transfer RNA, 74 nt
Organism: Bathycoccus prasinos
Lineage: Eukaryota; Viridiplantae; Chlorophyta; Mamiellophyceae; Mamiellales; Bathycoccaceae
Rfam family: tRNA
About the family: Transfer RNA (tRNA) molecules are approximately 80 nucleotides in length. Their secondary structure includes four short double-helical elements and three loops (D, anti-codon, and T loops).
Source: Rfam
CAGGGUAUAGCGCAGUUUGGUAGCGUAUCUGUUUUGGGUACAGAAGGUCGUAGGUUCAAAUCCUGCUACCCUGA